CAAGAAAGUAUGAAGGGGCUUGGAAGAGGGGAAUGGACUAACACAGUAAAUAUGAAGCAACUAUAACUAUCACCCAUCUACAAAGAAGCCACACUCUUCACAGCAAAUGGAAACCAACACAGAAAACCACAGCUGGAUACAAUCCAGAGCUCAAUAUAUCCUGGUGAGCCCAGACCCAGUGGAUAUAUCUACAUCACAACUACUACAUCUGUUUCUCAGACAAUAUCAUGGGGAUGGGACAUAACACCAUGACGUCUGAUACAAAACUACUGCUCCUAGAAAUGUCUACCUCAACGACACCAGAAAAAUGGCAAGAACAAGACAUGUUAUUGUGAAAGGGAGAAAUUUUCACAGGGCACCACCCCUGGACAAAAAAUCUAUAGGUUAAUAAUGACUGCUUGGGGAAGGAGAGUUAGCUUCUCCCACAGGUGAGGCCUCUGGUUGGUUGCCUAAAGCAGGGUGGUCAGCCUUGAGACCAUAUACACGUCACCAAUAAAACAGACACAGCAA
This is a long non-coding RNA of Mastomys coucha (southern multimammate mouse), 510 nucleotides long. RefSeq lists it as uncharacterized. The record is from RefSeq and is a predicted model, not a curated record. Lineage: Eukaryota; Metazoa; Chordata; Mammalia; Rodentia; Muridae. The transcript has 2 exons.